Molecule: ribosomal RNA, 252 nt
Filed under: uncultured bacterium
Lineage: Bacteria
Description: partial 16S ribosomal RNA
Rfam family: Bacterial small subunit ribosomal RNA
Source: RNAcentral
UACGUAGGGUGCGAGCGUUAAUCGGAAUUACUGGGCGUAAAGCGUGCGCAGGCGGUUCGUUGUGUCGGCGGUGAAAUCCCCGGGCUCAACCUGGGAAUGGCCGUUGAAACUGGCGAACUGGAGUGUGGCAGAGGGGGUGGAAUUCCGCGUGUAGCAGUGAAAUGCGUAGAGAUGCGGAGGAACACCGAUGGCGAAGGCAGCCCCCUGGGCUGACACUGACGCUCAGGCACGAAAGCGUGGGGAGCAAACAGG